This 1341-nucleotide long non-coding RNA is filed under the name Felis catus (domestic cat). RNAcentral's name for it is "lncRNA (ENSFCAG00000048524.1)". Lineage: Eukaryota; Metazoa; Chordata; Mammalia; Carnivora; Felidae. The record is from RNAcentral.
AUGGGUGGUUUGAUUCUUGUAAAAAGAAAAACGCUGUGGCGGCAGAGGAAAAUGACACGGCCGGCUUCCCACAAUGUACCACGAUGUUGCAUGGAGACAGACCAUGCUACCCAAGGGCGCUGGGAAAUUCAAGGCAGUCCGCGACACCAGAGGACUUCCGGCGGUUUAAACAGGCAUAAAAUUCGGCAAAGCCUUGGGAGGGAUCGUCGCCUUCUUCCCUGGAACCUGGGGAAGCCGUGGUGGCAGCAGACCCAUUUCCGCGAGGCACCCUCCCCGGAAGCGCCUCCCCAGCCAGCCGAUCCCGGCGUCUCGCUGAUGUAAACAUAAAGCGGAAGCCACGCAGGGGUGUGCAGCACGGAUGCACCUGUUCCGUGCUUUAAAACUUUCCCAGCGCCGUUCGGCGAGCACUCAGUCCUGCCCGGACACAGACGCCAUUUCGUUUCCCCGUUAGACACAGGGCGUCCAGGAUACGACGGCCACCAAGCAAAAUCCCGAUCGUUCUCUGCGUGAAGAGUCUCGCUUCGCAAGAAUUCAGAACACCUUGACCAUCACGUGACCUUGCAGCUUCUGUGGGACUUGACCCCCCCACGUGGCACCACUCUUACCCAUCACCUAUCCGUCCAUCUCCAUCCACACUUGUCCACAGCAGUCCUGCAGGAGCUCGGGGCUGUUGAGAUGCGUUCCCAGGUGACAGCGAGGUGUGGGGUGAGGAAGGACACGCAGAAAUACCCUGACCCACAGAAAAGGGAGCGGUACUCUCUGCCUCCAGUCUAAGAAUAGUAGUUGGGCGAGUUUUACAUGCCAUAAAUUCCUAAGUCCGUCCUACUGUUGUGGGUUGUAUUACCCAGAAUCUAACCAAAACCAAAGUCAAUUCUAACGGUCUCCCUUGUCACAUGUAUUUAUUUAUUUUAAUGUUUCUUUUUUUUUUUUUAAGUUUAUUUAUUUUUGGGACAGAGAGAGACAGAGCAUGAAUGGGGGAGGGGCAGAGAGAGCAGGAGACACAGGAUCCGAAGCAGGCUCCGGGCUCCGAGCCGUCAGCACAGAGCCCGACGUGGGGCUCGAACCCACGAACCGUGACAUCAUGACUUGAGCCGAAGUUGGAUGCUUAUCUGUCUGAUCUCACAUUUGAAAAUGGCCAGGGGCCCCGGGGUGGCUCAGUUGGUUAAGCGUCUGACUCUAGAUUUCGGCUCAGGUCAUGAUCUCACAGUUCGCGAGGGGGAGCCCCGCCGGAGCUCUGUGCCGCCAGCAUGGAAGCCGAGUGGGACCUCUCUCCCCUUCUCUCCGCCCCUCCCCACUCGCUCUCUCCCGCAAAAUAAAUAAAUAGAACUUGAAAAAAAUACA